UAGGGAAUCUUCCGCAAUGGGCGAAAGCCUGACGGAGCAAUGCCGCGUGAGUGAAGAAGGCCUUCGGGUCGUAAAACUCUGUUAUAAGAGAAGAACAAAUUGUAGAGUAACUGCUACAGUCUUGACGGUAUCUUAUCAGAAAGCCACGGCUAACUACGUGCCAGCAGCCGCGGUAAUACGUAGGUGGCAAGCGUUGUCCGGAUUUAUUGGGCGUAAAGGGAGCGCAGGUGGUUUCUUAAGUCUGAUGUGAAAGCCCACGGCUUAACCGUGGAGGGUCAUUGGAAACUGGGAAACUUGAGUACAGAAGAGGAAUGUGGAACUCCAUGUGUAGCGGUGGAAUGCGUAGAUAUAUGGAAGAACACCAGUGGCGAAGGCGACAUUCUGGUCUGUUACUGACACUGAGGCUCGAAAGCGUGGGGAGCAAACAGG
RNAcentral lists this ribosomal RNA (429 nucleotides) under Bacillota bacterium. RNAcentral describes it as "Firmicutes bacterium partial 16S ribosomal RNA". It matches the Rfam family "Bacterial small subunit ribosomal RNA", at positions 355 to 776 of the family's 1533-position model. Lineage: Bacteria; Bacillati; Bacillota. The record is from RNAcentral. RNAcentral also lists the same sequence under 3 other names.